RNAcentral lists this unclassified non-coding RNA (167 nucleotides) under uncultured Sordariomycetes. Its description in RNAcentral is "sequence contains ITS1". Lineage: Eukaryota; Fungi; Ascomycota; Sordariomycetes. The record is from RNAcentral.
CCGAGUACGGGGCGCAAGCCCCAUACCCACACCCAGUGUCGACUCUCUCUGUUGCUUCGGCGGGCCGUCGUGGUUCGCCGCGCCCCUGGCUCCGGCUGGGGUGUGCCCGCCGAAGGACCAACCAAACGCAUGGCAAAUCGGUCGUCCGAGGAUACAUGAAUCAGUCA